AUGUAACCCAACGCAGCAUGA
This 21-nucleotide microRNA is filed under the name Taeniopygia guttata (zebra finch). RNAcentral's name for it is "tgu-miR-1397-3p". Lineage: Eukaryota; Metazoa; Chordata; Aves; Passeriformes; Estrildidae. RNAcentral also lists the same sequence under 1 other name. The record is from miRBase by way of RNAcentral.